RNAcentral lists this ribosomal RNA (378 nucleotides) under uncultured bacterium. RNAcentral describes it as "bacterial SSU rRNA". It matches the Rfam family "Bacterial small subunit ribosomal RNA", at positions 523 to 898 of the family's 1533-position model. The record is from RNAcentral.
AUACGUAGGGUACGAGCGUUGUCCGGAAUUAUUGGGCGUAAAGAGCUCGUAGGUGGUUGGUCACGUCUGCUGUGGAAACGCAACGCUUAACGUUGCGCGUGCAGUGGGUACGGGCUGACUAGAGUGCAGUAGGGGAGUCUGGAAUUCCUGGUGUAGCGGUGAAAUGCGCAGAUAUCAGGAGGAACACCGGUGGCGAAGGCGGGACUCUGGGCUGUAACUGACACUGAGGAGCGAAAGCAUGGGGAGCGAACAGGAUUAGAUACCCUGGUAGUCCAUGCCGUAAACGUUGGGCACUAGGUGUGGGGGACAUUCCACGUUCUCCGCGCCGUAGCUAACGCAUUAAGUGCCCCGCCUGGGGAGUACGGUCGCAAGGCUAAA